Molecule: long non-coding RNA, 2345 nt
Organism: Bacillus rossius redtenbacheri
Lineage: Eukaryota; Metazoa; Arthropoda; Insecta; Phasmatodea; Bacillidae
Exons: 2
Source: RefSeq, a predicted model, not a curated record
GUUCAUAACAACAUUAACAGCAUUUUUAAAGCUGCAAGUGUGAUUAAAUUAAAUAAUGUGAAAUACAUAUAAUAUAUUGUUUUCAAAUGUGUCAUAACUGGACUAAUCUCCAUAUACUAACUCUUAAAGCUCGCAACAAAAUUUGUUGCUCCAACACCUUAGCUUUACUCAUUUCUAAACUUCAACGUAAUUUUUUUGGCAAAGUAAAAUAUGGUGCAAAUAGACUACAGCAAAGUUUUGUAGUGCAAACAUCUAUUAUUGUAAAACCACCAAGCAAGGGAGAAACAUUUUCUUCUACAGCCAGAUCGUUAUUGUUAUGAACAUAAUAUUUUCAAUUAUUGUUAAUUUAAUGUUACAUUUUGGAAAUUAUAUUAGAUAGUUAAUCUAUACAUACAAAUAUAUGUUUACACACACACACACACACACACACACAUAUGGUAUUAAUACAUUCUUUGAAAGUUAUUUGCACUAGAGAAGAUUAAUUUAAAACUUUUGUGACAUUCGCCAUUGCUGGUUUCAACUGUGAUAUUAAGGUUGUCUCUAUUGAAUACAGUGUGAACCAGCAUGUUUUACAUGUGUAUAAUGUACAUAUUAUGUGUAGUAAUGAUACACAUUAAGGUAAUCACACAGGUACUCAUGGCUCAUGCUCGGACGAGGAAUCUGGUGGAAAGGAUGUUCAGUGUUUGGAAGCAGCGCUUUCCCUGCUUGCAGCUUGUUUUAUGAAACAAGCUGCAGACAACAGCAGCUAUCAUUGUUGCCUGUGCCAUUUGUCACAACAUUGGUAUCAGGCACAAUGAUUAUGUGGAAGAAGCUGAGCUGCAGGUGAGAAGUGUUUUGUUAUAUAUUAUUAAUUAGUAUUGGCGACACCUGGGAUUUCUUCCCUGUAACUUAGUGUAUUAUUUGCAAAUGAAGUGCAUAGUACAAAUACUUGUUCAGUUUGUGAAUUGCAAUGAUGUUUAUUACAUAUUACUUCCUCUUUGAAAAUACAAAUGCUUUUGUACCUAUAAUAUGAUAUAUAAACAGCUAUAAAAUAGGAACCUUAUACAAAUAUUUAAACAGGCAAUGGCAAUAAACAUUGAAGCAAACUAGAUAUCUUGGCAGCCAAGGUCAACUGGCAAAAUCCACCUGAAGAAAUCUGCAAAUUAGGGGCUCGACUGGUGCUACAUUACAGAAAGUGGCAAACCAUAGCAUGCCAGAUGAAAAGCUUUUUGCUGUAUUUUUCUGAUGGUGUCUUCUGUUGUUUAUACACAACUUGCGUGUGUAUAUGUGUGUGAGAGUGCGUGCGUGCGAGUGCGUGUGUGUAAAACAAACAUGUUUUAUAAUUGAUACAAAGCUAAGGUAGAGACCAUUUACACUAUAGUAAUGAUAAUGUACCUAUAAACAAUUAUUGCCUGCAUUGUAAUAUAUUGAUUGGUUUGUUACAGGCCAACAAUGAUGUGCCAAUCCCACCAGUUCCUCUCCGACCUGGGCGCGCCUGGCCAUCAGGAACGAGUUCAUCAUCCGGCAUUUCAAUCCUGUUGCUGCCGCCAGUCAUGGCUCCACUCAGUGCUCGGUGCUGCGAGUUCCAGCCCCUCGUGUGCCAGCUGUGUGCAGAUCAGUUAGUGGGCUGGCAGGGAUUCUGUUGUCUCUACAUCCUCGACGGGCAUGACCAGGAACAUUCAAACAUUCAGGAAUUACAGUUUUCCUUUACAUCAUAUUGAAGAUAAUUUAUUAUUUAAUGAUUUUGCAUGUUAUUUAGACACACAUUUCAGGGAAAUUGUGGGCAAACUUUGCCUAGGCUUGUAGUAAGCAGUCAUGUGGUUUACCACUGAACUACCCUUGUUUGUUUCAAUAAAAUAACAAUAUUCUUCUACAAUGUUUUUAUUUUUGACAAGAAGGGUAAAGAUAUGAAAAUACAAAAGUACAGCUACAAAUCUUUUAAAUGCAAUGCCAAAAGCAAAGAUUUUACAUUUUAACAUUUUCCUUGUUACAGUUGUUUUAAUUGUUUUAUAAUCGUGCAUUAAUACAUAACAAGAUAAUAUCAAGAAAUAUUGUUAUGGAACCUAUUGACUAUAACUUUUUGAUGUAUACAUAUAAUUGAUUGUGUAGUGUAUGUUAUUUCUUGUGGCAACUAUUUGUAAGUUGUUAAUUUUAUUCACUAUCUUAGUAUUUCAAUACUAUUAACACAAAUCACAACAUAGUACACAGUGUUAAAAGCCCUUCAUAAUUCUUGUACAUUUCUGUCUGAUGUUUCUCUGGAGACCUUUAGCCAUAUCUGUUUGAGAUCUGAUAUUGACUGCUACUAUAUAUGUAUUUCAUGUAUUUAUAAUAUGGUUCCAAAAUACAAAAUACUUUAUGGUCACCUU